This 155-nucleotide unclassified non-coding RNA is filed under the name uncultured Xylaria. RNAcentral's name for it is "sequence contains ITS2". The record is from RNAcentral. Lineage: Eukaryota; Fungi; Ascomycota; Sordariomycetes; Xylariales; Xylariaceae.
CAAACCCUUAAGCCCUGUUGCUUAGCGUUGGGAGCCUACGGUACCGUAGCUCCCCAAAGUUAGUGGCGGAGUCGGUCUCACACCCUAGACGUAGUAAAUCUCUCUCGUCUGCGGUUAGGCCGGUCUCCUGCCGUAAAACACCCUAUAAUUCUAAA